AGGCCGCCCCUGUACCGUGUCCAAUCAACGUCACGUUCCUAGGAUCGCCGCCGAAGUUGCCGAUGUUCUCCUGCACCCAAUGGAGCGCCGCGAUUUGAUCCAUCAGACCGUAAUUCGCCGGCGAGCAGUUUGCGCAUCGGUGGGGAGGGGGGGAAAAAAAAGAGAGAGAGAAAAGCGUCGUUGGAACAAAGGGAGAAGUUUCGAAAUGGGAUGGGAUGGAGAGAAACAGAGCGAAGCAAUAAAGAGUUUAAUGAGUUUCGGUGUUCGAGUUAAACUUUCCUACCGGCUACCCAGUUAAGAAGCUUUAACUUGAAAAGCUCGGUCUUAUUGGACUACAAUGAUUGGAACCGAUUGGUGAAAAGAUG
Molecule: long non-coding RNA, 365 nt
Organism: Apis laboriosa (Himalayan honeybee)
Lineage: Eukaryota; Metazoa; Arthropoda; Insecta; Hymenoptera; Apidae
Exons: 3
Source: RefSeq, a predicted model, not a curated record